This 229-nucleotide ribosomal RNA is filed under the name uncultured bacterium. RNAcentral describes it as "partial 16S ribosomal RNA". It matches the Rfam family "Bacterial small subunit ribosomal RNA", at positions 568 to 796 of the family's 1533-position model. The record is from RNAcentral.
UGCGUAGGCGGCCUAUUAAGUCAGUGGUGAAAGGUAUCAGCUUAACUGAUGACGUGCCAUUGAAACUGAGAGGCUUGAGUACAGGCGAGGUAGGCGGAAUUUAUGGUGUAGCGGUGAAAUGCAUAGAUACCAUAAAGAACACCGAUAGCGAAGGCAGCUUACUAGACUGUAACUGACGCUGAGGCACGAAAGCGUGGGGAGCGAACAGGAUUAGAUACCCUGGUAGUCC